Molecule: ribosomal RNA, 492 nt
Filed under: uncultured bacterium
Lineage: Bacteria
Description: partial 16S ribosomal RNA
Rfam family: Bacterial small subunit ribosomal RNA
Source: RNAcentral
AGUGAACGCUGGCGGUAGGCCUAACACAUGCAAGUCGAACGGCAGCACAGUAAGAGCUUGCUCUUACGGGUGGCGAGUGGCGGACGGGUGAGGAAUACAUCGGAAUCUACUUUUUCGUGGGGGAUAACGUAGGGAAACUUACGCUAAUACCGCAUACGACCUACGGGUGAAAGCAGGGGAUCUUCGGACCUUGCGCGAUUGAAUGAGCCGAUGUCGGAUUAGCUAGUUGGCGGGGUAAAGGCCCACCAAGGCGACGAUCCGUAGCUGGUCUGAGAGGAUGGUCAGCCACACGGGAAGGGAGACACGGUCCAGACGCCUACGGGAGGGAGCAGUGGGGAAUAUUGGACAAUGGGCGCAAGUCUGAUCCAGCCAUACCGCGUGGGUGAAGAAGGCCUUCGGGUUGUAAAGCCCUUUUGUUGGGAAAGAAAAGCAGCAGGUUAAUACCCCGCUGUUCUGACGGUACCCAAAGAAUAAGCACCGGCUAACUUCGUG